UCCUGACUGACCGAUAGUGAACCAGUACCGUGAGGGAAAGGCGAAAAGAACCCCGGCGAGGGGAGUGAAAAAGAACCUGAAACCGUGUACGUACAAGCAGUGGGAGCACGCUUAGGCGUGUGACUGCGUACCUUUUGUAUAAUGGGUCAGCGACUUAUAUUCUGUAGCAAGGUUAACCGAAUAGGGGAGCCGAAGGGAAACCGAGUCUUAACUGGGCGUUAAGUUGCAGGGUAUAGACCCGAAACCCGGUGAUCUAGCCAUGGGCAGGUUGAAGGUUGGGUAACACUAACUGGAGGACCGAACCGACUAAUGUUGAAAAAUUAGCGGAUGACUUGUGGCUGGGGGUGAAAGGCCAAUCAAACCGGGAGAUAGCUGGUUCUCCCCGAAAGCUAUUUAGGUAGCGCCUCGUGAAUUCAUCUCCGGGGGUAGAGCACUGUUUCGGCAAGGGGGUCAUCCCGACUUACCAACCCGAUGCAAACUGCGAAUACCGGAGAAUGUUAUCACGGGAGACACACGGCGGGUGCUAACGUCCGUCGUGAAGAGGGAAACAACCCAGACCGCCAGCUAAGGUCCCAAAGUCAUGGUUAAGUGGGAAACGAUGUGGGAAGGCCCAGACAGCCAGGAUGUUGGCUUAGAAGCAGCCAUCAUUUAAAGAAAGCGUAAUAGCUCACUGGUCGAGUCGGCCUGCGCGGAAGAUGUAACGGGGCUAAACCAUGCACCGAAGCUGCG
RNAcentral lists this ribosomal RNA (729 nucleotides) under Shigella sonnei. RNAcentral describes it as "partial 23S ribosomal RNA". It matches the Rfam family "Bacterial large subunit ribosomal RNA", at positions 474 to 1204 of the family's 2925-position model. Lineage: Bacteria; Pseudomonadati; Pseudomonadota; Gammaproteobacteria; Enterobacterales; Enterobacteriaceae. The record is from RNAcentral.